UACGGGGGGGGCAAGCGUUGUUCGGAAUUACUGGGCGUAAAGGGCUCGUAGGUGGCCAACUAAGUCAGACGUGAAAUCCCUGGGCUUAACCCAGGAACUGCGUCCGAUACUGGCAGGCUGGAAUCCGGGAGAGGGAUGCGGAAUUCCAGGUGUAGCGGUGAAAUGCGUAGAUAUCUGGAGGAACACCGGUGGCGAAGGCGGCAUCCUGGACCGGCAUUGACGCUGAGGCGCGAAAGCCAGGGGAGCAAACGGG
RNAcentral lists this ribosomal RNA (253 nucleotides) under uncultured bacterium. Its description in RNAcentral is "partial 16S ribosomal RNA". It matches the Rfam family "Bacterial small subunit ribosomal RNA", at positions 524 to 776 of the family's 1533-position model. The record is from RNAcentral.